Molecule: non-coding RNA, 259 nt
Filed under: Brevibacillus parabrevis
Lineage: Bacteria; Bacillati; Bacillota; Bacilli; Caryophanales; Paenibacillaceae
Description: T-box sequence
Rfam family: T-box leader
About the family: Uncharged tRNA acts as the effector for transcription antitermination of genes in the T-box leader family. T-boxes are found upstream of many aminoacyl-tRNA synthetase genes and some amino acid biosynthetic genes usually in Gram-positive bacteria.
Source: RNAcentral
UCAAAUUCAUUGACGAGAAAGAGUACGCUAAACCCCUUGUUCCCCAGAGAGUUGGCCUAGUGCUGAAAGCCAACGUUCAAGACUUAGCCGAAAAUCCUCUCCGAGAAGGAAAGCUGAAGCGCAACAAAGUAAGCUGACCCGGGACCCCGCCGUUACAAGGGGCGCGUAUGAUGGUACGUAGCAGAGGUGUCGAAGCGUCACGUUUUCGUGAUCGUUUCGGAACAAGGGUGGUAACGCGAGAUGAAAUCUCGUCCCUUCG